RNAcentral lists this ribosomal RNA (253 nucleotides) under uncultured bacterium. Its description in RNAcentral is "partial 16S ribosomal RNA". It matches the Rfam family "Bacterial small subunit ribosomal RNA", at positions 524 to 776 of the family's 1533-position model. The record is from RNAcentral.
UACGUAGGGGGCAAGCGUUAUCCGGAUUUACUGGGUGUAAAGGGAGCGUAGACGGCAGCGCAAGUCUGAAGUGAAAUGCCAGGGCUUAACCCUGGAACUGCUUUGGAAACUGUGCAGCUAGCGUGCAGGAGAGGUAAGUGGAAUUUCUAGUGUAGCGGUGAAAUGCGUAGAUAUUAGGAGGAACACCAGUGGCGAAGGCGGCUUACUGGACUGUAACUGACACUGAGGCUCGAAAGCGUGGGGAGCAAACAGG